Molecule: ribosomal RNA, 508 nt
Filed under: uncultured bacterium
Lineage: Bacteria
Description: partial 16S ribosomal RNA
Rfam family: Bacterial small subunit ribosomal RNA
Source: RNAcentral
GAUGAACGCUAGCUACAGGCUUAACACAUGCAAGUCGAGGGGAAACGAUAGAGAAAGCUUGCUUUUUCUAGGCGUCGACCGGCGCACGGGUGAGUAACGCGUAUCCAACCUGCCCAUCACUUGGGGAUAACCUUGCGAAAGUAAGACUAAUACCCAAUGAUAUCUCUAGAAGACAUCUGAAAGGGAUUAAAGAUUUAUCGGUGAUGGAUGGGGAUGCGUCUGAUUAGCUUGUUGGCGGGGUAACGGCCCACCAAGGCGACGAUCAGUAGGGGUGCUGAGAGGAAGGUCCCCCACAUUGGAACUGGGACACGGUCCAAACUCCUACGGGAGGCAGCAGUGAGGAAUAUUGGUCAAUGGACGAGAGUCUGAACCAGCCAAGUAGCGUGCAGGAUGACGGCCCUAUGGGUUGUGAACUGCUUUUAUAAGGGAAUAAAGUGAGCCUCGUGAGGCUUUUUGCAUGUACCUUAUGAAUAAGGACCGGCUAAUUCCGUGCCAGCCGCCGCCGUAA